UCCCACCCUUGUAAGGCUGUUGUGGCACGGCUGUGCCCCUCAACCAAAGGUCUCGGCGCCUGCUGGCUGGCCACCCUCGGAGCCCUCUGCCUCCUCCAGCCUCAGUGUGGGGAAUGAGGCCCCUCUGGUACCAGCCCUGGCCACUGCAUUCAUUGCCCUGUGGUUUUGCUACAUGCUGGCCUCACUUGCUGCUACUCCUGCCAUCAAAUCCUGCCCUGACUUUGUUCCCCCUCCUCAGAGUGGCCAGGUUCUUCGAGAGACUCUGGGCUGUUCCACAGCCCCAGGUGUGAAUGUUGAGUUGUAUCAUUCUUUCUGCCAGCGUUGUUUUAGGCAUGGGUAUGUGGUACAAUUCUGGCUUGGUCAGGAAGAGAAUUAUGCUGGUGAAGUUUCCUCCUCAAAAAGCAACACAAUGAAAGGCUAUUCCCUUUAUUCCACCUCUGGACAUCGGAGGGAGAAGAUGUGACGUCUGAAGCCACAGCAGCCCCUUUUUAACCAUGAGGAUUGCAGAGCCCAAAGAGGAAGGGAUCUUGGUCCUUGAUGACAUAUUUGAGCCAACAAACUAAACCAACCUCAGAAUUAGUCUUCUUCCAGAAUUAUAUUAUGUGACAUCAUAAAUGUUUUUAUUGUUUAAGCUACAUUUAGUUGAGAUUUCUUGUAUUUGACCUGUAGCCCAAAGCAGCCCAAUACACAGUUCCAGGGGUUUAUCUCAUUUAAUCCAGUAAUAAAUUGUAGAGAUUUAAAA
Molecule: long non-coding RNA, 742 nt
Organism: Lemur catta (Ring-tailed lemur)
Lineage: Eukaryota; Metazoa; Chordata; Mammalia; Primates; Lemuridae
Exons: 2
Source: RefSeq, a predicted model, not a curated record